UACGUAGGGCGCAAGCGUUGUCCGGAAUUAUUGGGCGUAAAGCGCGCGCAGGCGGUCCUUUAAGUCUGAUGUGAAAGCCCACGGCUCAACCGUGGAGGGUCAUUGGAAACUGGGGGACUUGAGUGCAGAAGAGAAGAGUGGAAUUCCACGUGUAGCGGUGAAAUGCGUAGAGAUGUGGAGGAACACCAGUGGCGAAGGCGACUCUUUGGUCUGUAACUGACGCUGAGGCGCGAAAGCGUGGGGAGCAAACAGG
Molecule: ribosomal RNA, 253 nt
Filed under: uncultured bacterium
Lineage: Bacteria
Description: partial 16S ribosomal RNA
Rfam family: Bacterial small subunit ribosomal RNA
Source: RNAcentral